UGGGUUACCCAAGUCACUCCGGUAAUCAAACAAAUCGUAAAGUAAACAUCAAAUGAAAACCCAGCUCGAUCUAGUUUGCCCCUGAAUUGUGUAAAACCAACGAAUUCCAUACUAGAUAAAUUCCUUAACUCCUGAAGACAACAAAAACCAAGAGAAACUUCCAUCACUUUCCUUUUAAGCACCGAAACAAAGAUUCAUAGACAUCUUCGUUUUUUUCCGUCUUUAGUUCUUCUCUCAAACCAGAGCCUCUGUCUAUCGUCAGUCGAGUUCCACCGCCGCGUUAGCAAAACUGGGUACCCCGUUCUCCAGAUAAGCCGAGAUUUCAAAUUUGUCUUCCUCAUUCAUUUGAGCCUUUUUCACCACAGUUAAUGAAACCCCUUCGACCUCCACCGGCCUUAUUCCCAAAUCUAAUCCUAUCUGUAUUGCCUAGAUGUAAGGCAAAGCUUCAGUUGCAAACGUCGAAGGUAUGUUUUCGUUAAUCACUAUUUUUGAACCUAUCACUUGUCCUCUUGAAUCCCUACUAAAAAUACCAGAUCAUGACCUCUUUUCUUGAUUUCUAUAUGCAACAUCGAAAUUUAACUUAACAAAUGGGUUUUUCGGCAUCUUCCAUCACUCAGUCACCUCCUUCCUCUCAGGCAAUCUAGUUUCUAUUUCCCAUGCCUGUAAUAUUUUAGGGCCACACAAAAUUCAAGUGAUUCGAGACCUCCUUUGUAAUUCGACAACCCCGCAUUACAUGUUCUGUGGUUUCUACUUCCUCUUCAUAUAUAGGACAAACUAUUGUUCCAAUCAACCUUCUGUAAUGUAGAUUAUUAAAUGUAGGAAGAAAAUUACAGGCUAUUCUUCAUUUUGUAAUUUUUAUUUUUGGUGGUAGAUUCAAUAGCCAUAUUUUCUUGUAAAGGCUCCAUUCUGUGUUCUAGUUGUAACUAGUAUUAGGAUUUGUGAUUCCUUGUAAUCGAAGCUUGUAACCACUAUGAAUAGAGUACUCGCCCAAUCUUUACUUCUCUA
Molecule: long non-coding RNA, 1005 nt
Organism: Gossypium arboreum
Lineage: Eukaryota; Viridiplantae; Streptophyta; Magnoliopsida; Malvales; Malvaceae
Exons: 3
Source: RefSeq, a predicted model, not a curated record